CGGGAAAGAGCACCGAAGAGACGGCGCACCUUUACCGGACCUCGCGCUGUGUGGAAGCCACGCUGAACUAUAAAUCUGGGCUCUGCACCCUUCAUCCUGAAGAAGGGUUGUUCUCCAGAUACGAAGAUGCACAAGCUCCAGUGAAGGAUGAAGAGGAGGAGCUGGGGAGGCCCAUGUUGACCAUCUUUCCUUCAAAGCAUCAAGUGCAGAGCUAUGCCACGUUGUCCAUCUCUGCCCCUGCUGUCCUCACCAACUGGACCUUUGUAGACAGGAAGGAAACUGUUUGUGUUGGACCACAAGCGAUGGAGCAGCUUUCCACUUCCUGCUCUAUGAACACAGUGAGCAGAAGGACAUGCUGAAGGAGACAGGAAC
Pungitius pungitius (ninespine stickleback) is the source of this 372-nucleotide long non-coding RNA. RefSeq lists it as uncharacterized. The transcript has 4 exons. NCBI's taxonomy places the organism in Eukaryota, Metazoa, Chordata, Actinopteri, Perciformes, Gasterosteidae. The record is from RefSeq and is a predicted model, not a curated record.